This 456-nucleotide ribosomal RNA is filed under the name Dipsas turgida. RNAcentral describes it as "partial large subunit ribosomal RNA". It matches the Rfam family "Bacterial large subunit ribosomal RNA", at positions 1924 to 2609 of the family's 2925-position model. The record is from RNAcentral. Lineage: Eukaryota; Metazoa; Chordata; Lepidosauria; Squamata; Dipsadidae.
UUAACGGCCGCGGUACCCUAACCGUGCAAGGUAGCGUAAUCAUUUGUCUAUUAAUUGUAGACCAGUAUGAAGGCAAAAUGAGGGUUUAUCUGUCUCUUACAGUAAAUCAAUUAAACUGAUCUCCUAGUAAAAAAGCUAGAAUCUACACAUAAGACCAGAAGACCCUGUGAAGCUUAAACUAAACUAUUAAACCGUAUAAUACCUACUUUCGGUUGGGGCGACCUUGGAAAAAAAAAGAACUUCCAAACACUUCUAUACAGGCCCACAAGCCUUACAACAGACCCAGUACAACUGAUAAUUGAACCAAGUUACUCCAGGGAUAACAGCGCUAUCUUCUUCAAGAGCCCAUAUCAAAAAGAAGGCUUACGACCUCGAUGUUGGAUCAGGACAUCCUAAUGGUGCAACCGCUAUUAAGGGUUCGUUUGUUCAACGAUUAAUAGUCCUACGUGAUCUGAG